RNAcentral lists this ribosomal RNA (406 nucleotides) under uncultured bacterium. Its description in RNAcentral is "partial 16S ribosomal RNA". It matches the Rfam family "Bacterial small subunit ribosomal RNA", at positions 30 to 526 of the family's 1533-position model. The record is from RNAcentral.
AUUGAACGCUGGCGGCAGGCCUAACACAUGCAAGUCGAACGAGUCGCGGACGGGUGUGCUAUGUCUGGGACUCUGCCUGAUGGAGGGGGAUCACUACCGGAAACUGUAGCUAAUACCGUAUAGCAUCAGAUGUGCCCAGAUGGGAUUAGCGUGUUGGUGGGGUAACCGCUCACCAAGGCGACGAUCCCUAGCUGGUCGGAGAGGAUGACCAGCCACACUGGAACUGAGACACGGUCCAGACUCCUACGGGAGGCAGCAGUGGGGAAUAUUGCACAAUGGGCGCAAGCCUGAUGCAGCCAUGCCGCGUGUAUGAAGAAGGCCUUCGGGUUGUAAAGUACUUUCAGCGGGGAGGCGUUACCCGCAGAAGAAGCACCGGCUAACUCCGUGCCAGCAGCCGCGGUAAUAC